Non-coding RNA from Biomphalaria pfeifferi, 1573 nucleotides. The record is from the annotation of a GenBank genome assembly. NCBI's taxonomy places the organism in Eukaryota, Metazoa, Mollusca, Gastropoda, Planorbidae.
UUUUAUUUCUUUUCAAUUUUAUUUUGACAAAUGACAAAACAGAAUUUGAUGUUAUAGAUACAAUUAUAUCUAGGUCUAAUGUAGAUAUUUUGUCCUUACAUUUUACUGUUAAUUGUUUUAAAAAUGGUGUAAUUUUGAAUAACUAAGUCUUAUAUAUUUAGUUUUAAAAGUAAAACAGUGCUCCUUCAUAGGAUAAACGGAGCCUUUGAUUCAGAACUUUGAAAGCUACAAAAUAUGAAAGAGGAUUUUCCUUUUUUUUCCUAGUCUUUGAGAUCAAAACGGGACGGACAAAUACAUAAAAUAAAUAAAGUUUUUUUUUCCUAUCGGGGUCAGUUAAAAAUGGAACAAAAUCUAUAACAAAUAUAUAAACAAAUAUAUAACAAACAAAAAAAUGAACAAUAAUUUGAUGUCUGGAAUAAAUAGGAGAAAAGGAGAAAAAAAAAAUAACAUGAAAAAAAUGGCAAUGAGAUUUUGAGUGUAAUACAGCUUAUACAUCAAUAAAGUAUCACAUUGUGAGCAAUGAAUAAUGAAAAAUCAAAUCAACAGACCUAACCAUUCAAAAUUGUAUGUUGUCAAACUGGCAAUUUAGAUGAUCCAACGUUCAAUAGAAAGUAGAAAAAAAAAAUAGAAAAUAUAAUAUAAUAAUAUAGCAAAAAAAAUUGGACAGUUUAUUGCAUUGGCUAUUUUUAACCUGGUAAAUGUGCUAGCCCUUGUCAAAUGUUAGCUGUUGUCACAUAUUGCCCGUUGCUUGUUUAUAUUAGGGCGUGACAACUCUGUAACACAAGUCUUGAAGAAAGCGAUGUUGGAACAUUGUUACCAAUACAUAAAAAAGGCAGUUUGGCAGCCAUCACUAAACAACAUCAAAACGAAGUGUGUUAAUUGUAAAAACAACAUCGACUACAUCAACGUAACUUUAGACUUUACAUUUAUUGGUUUUAGCUGCUCAAAGUUUUGUUGACCUGUAUGAAAUUGUAGUGAGUUUUGUAUUCCCACAAACUUACAUAUAUACGCACUAUCUAUCCAAAAGAGAAUGUUUAGCAACGCCAUUCAUUUGACAACUCAUAUAUGUGGCAGUGCAAAAUAAAAUCAUGCCACAAACCAAUGCAUCAUAAUAUACACUAUUGUUUUUGUAUAAUGGACCUCAUUCACCAAUCCUAAACAAACAACAUUUAGCCACAAAAAUAAUUAUAAACAAUUAAUUAAAAACGUAUAUUGAGGAAUUUAAAAGUCAUUGACAAUGAGAAAUUGUGCAAAUAUUCAACUUCAUACCAGAAUAGAAACUUGGAGAAAUAAUGUGUAAAGGAUUCAACCCACACAGACAAAAUAGGUCAUUGAAUAUAGUUUGCAACCUUGCAAAUGCGAACAGGAGUGCACAUUGUGCGAUUAUCAAAAAAGCAAACAAAAAUGCAUAUAAAAUAUAACAUAUAGAUGGAGUAUUAGUUUAAACAUCUACCCUUAAACACAGUCACAGUAUUUUCAAGUUUAUUCAAGUAUUUUCAAGUUUAUUUAAGUAUUUUCAAGUUUAUUCAAGUAUUUUCAAGUUUAUUCAAGUAUUUUCAAGUUUAUUCAAGUA